GGAAAAACCUGCAUAUUUCUGAAACGGUGUGUGUUAUGGUAUUUAACUCUCAUUAAUUUAGACGCCCACGGCAAUGUCUUCAAUUCGUGGAUCGAAUGGAUGAGGCGGUGUGCUUUCUAUAUAAAUAUAUCAAUCUUCUAAACUCUGAUUAGGCCGGCCGGAUUGGCGAAUGGCAUCUAGAUUGGCUCAAAAGUCUAUCUGAAUUGAUCCAAGAAUUUCUGGAACUGGGUCAUCGGGAUCAUCACUGACUGUUACAGUUCCUCUCGAGUCCCCAAUGUUUCAAAAUACUCAACUUAUAAAUUUGUUCUUCACCGGAGAACUUGGGAGAAGUUGGUGUUACCUCCUACUCUCGAUGAUGUUGCUCAGAUAAGAAGAACACAUGGAUCUAAACAAAAGUUUCCAUGCCACCGCUUCUGUCAUUAUGACUGAGUGAAUGUCUCCACCUUAUCUGUGAAACUUUACACUCCUUCCACCUAUAGCUUCGCCUCCUUCGAUAUCGUUUCAUCAUAGUGGUUGCUCAUUGAACGCAACAGCAACAUACACCGAUGACAUUCUGUCCGAGAGACAGAUCAAUGGCUCCCAUUGGUGAGGUGGAUGAGACGAAGAUAAAGGUUGCUUAUCAAGGUGUGAAUGUUUUCGGAACUGAUCUAUUUUUAAAAUUGGUUAUUCAGCAAAAUAUGAUUUUUCCGUGGGAUGUUGAUACAACUGGAUAGAAUUUUCUGUGUGUUCUAUUUAUUGUAUAACAUUUGUGUUUCUCUAAAUAAUUAGGUUUUAUAUUAUGUGUAAAUCAUUCUGUUUUGUGGU
Long non-coding RNA from Raphanus sativus (radish), 804 nucleotides. RefSeq lists it as uncharacterized. NCBI's taxonomy places the organism in Eukaryota, Viridiplantae, Streptophyta, Magnoliopsida, Brassicales, Brassicaceae. The transcript is spliced from 4 exons. The record is from RefSeq and is a predicted model, not a curated record.